CUGCUGGAAAAGAGACACGGAAAAGAGUGGAAAAGAGACACGGCAGUUGAUGGCAAUGGAGGAUAGCAAAGGAUGCAAGAUGUCCCAGAGCCCCAAGAACUGCAAUAGGGUUAGGAUUCUCUGGGGUACAAACUCCCCUCACACAAGGGUCAGCAAAACUGGGCUGCAAGCUUCAGCUGAGAUUGUGUCCUUGAGUCUCUUGCCAUCCCUGAGGUGCUGUGCUCAGGAGCCUUUGAAUCCAGGUAGUUCCCCAGCUGGGAAAAUCUAACUCCGUCUUGCUGACUCCCCCCAUCUCUAUUAGGGCUGCGUGACAAACUUCUUCUUAUACAUUCACCUCGGUGGAUUUUCUGCUUGCCUGGGCUCUUUCCAGUUACACACAACAACAGCGGUAAAAUGCUUCGGCUUGGCAGGAUCGUAUUGAAAACGACCCCCAGAAUCUCAAACUCCUACAACGAGGAAAUACAGCAACUUUUUUGUGACGCACAUGUAAUGUUGUAGCACUAUAAUGCAAAAAUAAAAUCUGAAAUAAGGCA
Hemicordylus capensis (graceful crag lizard) is the source of this 533-nucleotide long non-coding RNA. RefSeq lists it as uncharacterized. The record is from RefSeq and is a predicted model, not a curated record. The transcript has 3 exons. NCBI's taxonomy places the organism in Eukaryota, Metazoa, Chordata, Lepidosauria, Squamata, Cordylidae.